CAAUAGCGUAUAUUAAAGUUGUUGCGGUUAAAAAGCUCGUAGUUGGAUUUCUGUUGGGAACGACCGGUCCGCCCAUUGGGUGUGUAUCUGGCUUGUUCUCGGCAUCUUCUUGGUGAACGUUGCUGCACUUGACUGUGUGGAGCGCUACCCAGGACUUUUACUUUGAGGAAAUUAGAGUGUUUCAAGCAGGCAUAUGCCUUGAAUACAUUAGCAUGGAAUAAUAAGAUAGGACCUCGGUUCUAUUUUGUUGGUUUCUAGAGCUGAGGUAAUGAUUAAUAGGGAUAGUUGGGGGCAUUCGUAUUUAACUGUCAGAGGUGUAAUUCUUGGAUUUGUUAAAGACGGACUACUGCGAAAGCAUUUGCCAAGGAUGUUUUCAUUGA
Molecule: ribosomal RNA, 380 nt
Filed under: uncultured eukaryote
Lineage: Eukaryota
Description: partial 18S ribosomal RNA
Rfam family: Eukaryotic small subunit ribosomal RNA
Source: RNAcentral